UGCCCUUUCACCUCUAGGGCAUAACCAAGGUGGAGUAAUGGCUCCCUCUAGCACUGUGAACAUGACGAGCCCUGGUCGAUCUACAAUAGGCAGGCGAACGAGGGCAAAAAAGGGAAGUAACGACGUGGACAAGGUGGAUGUCAGUGUUACAAGUGGUGUGACUAUUGCUCCAACUGCACAGCUGACAGACAGAAGACGAUCACAAGAGGUGGAGAUCUGUAAGAUGAAGCUAGAGUGGCAAAAGGAUUAGAUUGAUGAGCUCACCAAAGAAAGAGACUAUCUAAAGGAGCAAUUAGCAGCAUGUCUCACAAAAGAACCCACAAGGUCUGUCCAGCAUCCCAGUGACGUACUGAGCAUGUCUUCGCUUUCCUCUGACGGGUCAUUUGAUAAGGGUUCUGACUCCUCCACGAGCACAACUUCAUCACAUGAAGACAGUCAGAAGAGGAAGAAGAAAGGCAAAGCCAAAAAGAAUAAGAAGUCAAAGAAACAUGACCAAAUUGCAAGAACAAGAGGUAAAGUGAUUAAAUCUUUCUAUAAUUUGAUCCUACAUGCUGUAUUGUACUGCUGUUCUUCUGAGUUGGUUAUGUUAUUUAACCCUUCUAGUGUCCCUAGAGACUUAUGUGUGACUAAAAUUAAAUAAUCUUUCAUAAAUUCCAGUUUUUAGAUUGCUUUCAUCCUUAGCUUGAAAACUCACAAAUGUAAUAAAGUAGAGCUGGCAUGUCUGUUCUCACGGUGCGGGGGCUCUUUCCGACGCCCAUACAGUAUAAAAAUGCAAAUGACGACUUUAGUCGUCAUUGGCAGUUAAUGAGUAAAUUUAGAAAUAUGUGUGUUACAUCCCUACACUAUUACAUAAAAUUAAUAAUCUCAAUAUAACACAUUUGUUCUCUAAAUUGCAGCCCAGAAUCCCAAACAAGUGGUCCCCCGGUAUGAGAGGAUUUUGAGGCUGUUCAAAAAAGGAGGGACCAUGUCAGCUGCCUUUAAACGUCUGGGAGUGGACCGGAACACAAUUGUGGCAACUGCUCCAAUUGCUGAGCUUUUCAUUGUCGCACCUGAUAGGUAUAAAGAAUUAGAAAAAAACAAACAGGGUAAGAAACUGUCAUUGUUUGCAACACAGUGUGCUGCAGCAAUCAGUGCAGAUCCAGAAAUAGAGGACAAACGUGAGUCCUAUAAGUCUUCUGGGAAGUUGCUUCCUCUUAAAAAAAAAGACUAGAUUUUAGUGGUUUUUUUACAUUGUGAAAUGUGGUGAUAGGUCACCAUUGUUAACUGCAAAAAGGGCCAGAUUUAGUUAUGUAGUCCAGUUGAUUGGCAGAUUUGUGUGAUAAAAAAAGACACUCUAUUUUUGGUUUGCAUGACUUUUAUUAUUUUUUUACUGUUAGAUUCUAUGUUUAUUUUAAAGAUCACACAUGUGAUACAUUUCAUGUAAAAACAUACAGGUCAUAAAAGUGCAUCAAGCCUUGUUCUUUACUUCAAAUACUGGCUAAUAGUGGUUCAGCACAAUGUUUGUUUUGACAGUUGUGUGUCAAUAUUUGUAAGCAUUGUUUUGAUGUUUUAUAAUUGGCAUCUUAAAAAUAAAGUGCUUUCUGUAUCUGUGUUGUCCUUUAUUUUUUAUUACAAUGUAUUUUGAAAAACUUUCACAUUUAUUAAUAGGUUGUAAGGUAUAUAUAGUCUCCACUUUAGAUGAGCUCACUCAAAAUACUUAACUAAGAAGUAGUAAAUGGUUUGUAACGUUCUAAAGUAGUUUAUUAAUGUAUUUAUAAUAACUGAUAGAUUAUCUAUUUAAAAAGAAGUGGGUCGGUAGGGAGCUGCAUCUUUGGAAGCCGUCAAGUGACAAUUGUAAAUGUAUUGUAAGACAUCUGUUAACAUUUAGUAGCUGACUGAUGUAGUCGUGAGAUUCAGUGUUUAGAAAACAUCUAGUGAGACUAGUAUGUGUAGUAAAUGUUUAGUUUAUAGUAUUAAAUAGGGUAUGUUAACUAUUUACUUACCCUUUACCAGUGGGAUUGUAUACUGUUUUACAUCAUGAAAGGACUGGUUUGUAAAUGAUGGAGAGCAGAGUUUAUAAAUGAUUAAUCAAUGACUUAUAGAUCAUGAAACAUCAUGAAUAAAAGUGUGACACAGUAGCUUCUUCAUCAUGAAUAAAGCCUUAAUAGUGGUGCUUGUAAGCUGUUAAGUAAUUAUGAUCAUCUUUUUGCAGAUGCUUUACAAAUGAUUAAAUAACCAUUAGCCAAUGCUUUACUGAUGAUUA
Nothobranchius furzeri (turquoise killifish) is the source of this 2242-nucleotide non-coding RNA. Lineage: Eukaryota; Metazoa; Chordata; Actinopteri; Cyprinodontiformes; Nothobranchiidae. The record is from RefSeq and is a predicted model, not a curated record.